RNAcentral lists this ribosomal RNA (481 nucleotides) under uncultured bacterium. RNAcentral describes it as "partial 16S ribosomal RNA". It matches the Rfam family "Bacterial small subunit ribosomal RNA", at positions 28 to 507 of the family's 1533-position model. The record is from RNAcentral.
GAUGAACGCUGGCGGCGUGCUUAACACAUGCAAGUCGAACGAAGCAUUUAGAACAGAUUACUUCGGUUUGAAGUUCUUUAUGACUGAGUGGCGGACGGGUGAGUAACGCGUGGGUAACCUGCCUUGUACUGGGGGAUAGCAGCUGGAAACAGCUGGUAAUACCGCAUAAGCGCACAAUGUUGCAUGACAUGGUGUGAAAAACUCCGGUGGUAUAAGAUGGACCCGCGUCUGAUUAGCUAGUUGGUGAGAUAACAGCCCACCAAGGCGACGAUCAGUAGCCGACCUGAGAGGGUGACCGGCCACAUUGGGACUGAGACACGGCCCAGACUCCUACGGGAGGCAGCAGUGGGGAAUAUUGCACAAUGGAGGAAACUCUGAUGCAGCGACGCCGCGUGAGUGAAGAAGUAAUUCGUUAUGUAAAGCUCUAUCAGCAGGGAAGAUAGUGACGGUACCUGACUAAGAAGCGCCGGCUAAAUACGUG